Molecule: ribosomal RNA, 250 nt
Filed under: uncultured prokaryote
Description: partial 16S ribosomal RNA
Rfam family: Bacterial small subunit ribosomal RNA
Source: RNAcentral
UACGUAGGGAGCGAGCGUUAACCGGAUUUAUUGGGUGUAAAGGGUGCGUAGACGGGUAAUCAAGUUAGUUGUGAAAUCCCUCGGCUUAACUGAGGAACUGCAACUAAAACUGAAUAUCUUGAGUGCAGGAGAGGUAAGUGGAAUUCCUAGUGUAGCGGUGAAAUGCGUAGAUAUUAGGAGGAACACCAGUGGCGAAGGCGACUUACUGGACUGUAACUGACGUUGAGGCACGAAAGCGUGGGGAUCGAAC